Molecule: long non-coding RNA, 216 nt
Filed under: Elaeis guineensis (African oil palm)
Lineage: Eukaryota; Viridiplantae; Streptophyta; Magnoliopsida; Arecales; Arecaceae
Description: long non-coding RNA (EGUI_LNC032904)
Source: RNAcentral
ACCCUCGUAUGUCGACUUAUCCUCGGACCGAUCUGACUGACGCCUGACUCUACCCAUCGAAUAGACAUAUAACUCUGACAAUAUCCGACCGAAGGUAUGCUGGCCAAACAGACCAAUACUAUUUCCAACUGGCCGAACGGCCGAACCCACAUCACCGACUCACUAUCGGGGGUGGCAGUCGAUGUCCGACUUCCACACAGCACCAGAUCAGCCGAC